UACGAAGGGGGCUAGCGUUGCUCGGAAUCACUGGGCGUAAAGCGCACGUAGGCGGAUUGCUAAGUCAGGGGUGAAAUCCUGGAGCUCAACUCCAGAACCGCCUUUGAUACUGGCGAUCUUGAGUCCGGGAGAGGUGAGUGGAACUGCGAGUGUAGAGGUGAAAUUCGUAGAUAUUCGCAAGAACACCAGUGGCGAAGGCGGCUCACUGGCCCGGUAUUGACGCUGAGGCGCGAAAGCCAGGGGAGCAAACGGG
This 253-nucleotide ribosomal RNA is filed under the name uncultured bacterium. RNAcentral describes it as "partial 16S ribosomal RNA". It matches the Rfam family "Bacterial small subunit ribosomal RNA", at positions 524 to 776 of the family's 1533-position model. The record is from RNAcentral.